AACGCACAUUGCGCCCCUUGGUAUUCCGAGGGGCAUGCCUGUUCGAGCGUCAUUAUGACCACUCAAGCCUAGCUUGGUAUUGAGGUUCGCGGUUCUGCGGCCUCUAAAAUCAGUGGCGGUGCCGUCUGGCUUCAAGCGUAGUAAUUUUCUCGCUACGGAGUCUAGGCAGUUGCUUGCCAAAACAACUUCUCAAGGUUGACCUCGGAUCAGGUAGGGAUACCCGCUGAACUUAA
This 233-nucleotide unclassified non-coding RNA is filed under the name uncultured fungus. Its description in RNAcentral is "sequence contains ITS2". The stretch from base 1 to 52 matches the Rfam family "5.8S ribosomal RNA", at positions 103 to 154 of the family's 154-position model. Lineage: Eukaryota; Fungi. The record is from RNAcentral.